This 482-nucleotide ribosomal RNA is filed under the name uncultured bacterium. RNAcentral's name for it is "bacterial SSU rRNA". It matches the Rfam family "Bacterial small subunit ribosomal RNA", at positions 35 to 507 of the family's 1533-position model. The record is from RNAcentral.
GCUGGCGGCAGGCCUAACACAUGCAAGUCGAGCGGUAACAGUUUCUAGCUUGCUAGAAGAUGACGAGCGGCGGACGGGUGAGUAACGCGUAGAAAUCUACCUAGUAGUGGGGGAUAGCCCAGAGAAAUUUGGAUUAAUACCGCAUACGCCCUACGGGGGAAAGCGGGGGAUCUUCGGACCUCGUGCUAUUAGAUGAGUCUGCGUCGGAUUAGCUUGUUGGUGAGGUAAUGGCUCACCAAGGCGACGAUCCGUAGCUGGUCUGAGAGGAUGACCAGCCACACUGGAACUGAGACACGGUCCAGACUCCUACGGGAGGCAGCAGUAGGGAAUCUUCCACAAUGGGCGCAAGCCUGAUGCAGCCAUGCCGCGUGUGUGAAGAAGGCCUUAGGGUUGUAAAGCACUUUCAGCAGUGAGGAAAGGGGUGUCGUUAAUAGCGCCAUCCUGUGACGUUAACUGCAGAAGAAGGACCGGCUAACUCCGUG